This 465-nucleotide ribosomal RNA is filed under the name Vreelandella stevensii. Its description in RNAcentral is "partial 16S ribosomal RNA". It matches the Rfam family "Bacterial small subunit ribosomal RNA", at positions 338 to 795 of the family's 1533-position model. Lineage: Bacteria; Pseudomonadati; Pseudomonadota; Gammaproteobacteria; Oceanospirillales; Halomonadaceae. The record is from RNAcentral.
CCUACGGGUGGCAGCAGUGGGGAAUAUUGGACAAUGGGCGAAAGCCUGAUCCAGCCAUGCCGCGUGUGUGAAGAAGGCCUUCGGGUUGUAAAGCACUUUCAGUGGGGAAGAAAGCCUUGGGGCUAAUACCCUCGAGGAAGGACAUCACCCACAGAAGAAGCACCGGCUAACUCCGUGCCAGCAGCCGCGGUAAUACGGAGGGUGCGAGCGUUAAUCGGAAUUACUGGGCGUAAAGCGCGCGUAGGCGGUCUGAUAAGCCGGUUGUGAAAGCCCCGGGCUCAACCUGGGAACGGCAUCCGGAACUGUCAGGCUAGAGUGUAGGAGAGGAAGGUAGAAUUCCCGGUGUAGCGGUGAAAUGCGUAGAGAUCGGGAGGAAUACCAGUGGCGAAGGCGGCCUUCUGGACUGACACUGACGCUGAGGUGCGAAAGCGUGGGUAGCAAACAGGAUUAGAUACCCUUGUAGUC